This 163-nucleotide ribosomal RNA is filed under the name Piper ottoniifolium. RNAcentral describes it as "5.8S ribosomal RNA". It matches the Rfam family "5.8S ribosomal RNA". Rfam says of the family: 5.8S ribosomal RNA (5.8S rRNA) is a component of the large subunit of the eukaryotic ribosome. It is transcribed by RNA polymerase I as part of the 45S precursor that also contains 18S and 28S rRNA. Functionally, it is thought that 5.8S rRNA may be involved in ribosome translocation. Lineage: Eukaryota; Viridiplantae; Streptophyta; Magnoliopsida; Piperales; Piperaceae. The record is from RNAcentral.
AAUACGACUCUCGGCAACGGAUAUCUCGGCUCUCGCAUCGAUGAAGAACGUAGCGAAAUGCGAUACUUGGUGUGAAUUGCAGAAUCCCGUGAACCAUCGAGUCUUUGAACGCAAGUUGCGCCCAAGGCCUUUUGGUCGGAGGGCACAUCUGCUUGGGCGUUAA